This is a long non-coding RNA of Mesocricetus auratus (golden hamster), 624 nucleotides long. RefSeq lists it as uncharacterized. The transcript has 5 exons. The record is from RefSeq and is a predicted model, not a curated record. Lineage: Eukaryota; Metazoa; Chordata; Mammalia; Rodentia; Cricetidae.
AUGACAACCAAGAAUAGCCGUCACGAGGUAUUUUGGAGAUCCAGUUACUCUCAUUGGACUGGAGAAGGAGUUUGAUAGGGCAUUCUGGGAAAGGAGAGGGUUUUUUUUUCCUCUUUCCUUUUUGAAUAUGGGUAUGAACAGCAGUUCUCCAGUCUUCCUCCUCCUCUGAGGAGAAACUGACUCAUCAGUGAUGAGGCAGACAGGAAGGAUUUGGGGGAUUUGCUUGGUUCUUCAUGUGAAGUUUUCAGGUGUCUUUGAUGCUACCUGGAAGGGCCUCAUGCUGCCACUGGGACAGGAAUAGGUGGCCAUCAAUCCAGAAAAUUUCAGUGUUUCACAGAUUGAUAAUGACACUACUAAUAACGUGGGAGAAUGCUCUGAAGAUGGAGGCAGACAGCAGAAUGAUGCUGCCAUAAGCUAAGAGAUAACCAAGAGCUAAAAGAAUCAAGAAAACAAUGCAAGAAGUGGACCCAGUGAGCCAUUUGGAGACUCCAGCUUGACUCCAAGCUUCUCAGGAGAGUAUGUUCCCAUGGACACCUGUUAAGAGAAGCUUUUUCUUUGAGAGGAGCCUUCUCGCCCGCCUGGUUUCAGAUCCGCAUCAGUCCCAAAUAAACACACAGGAAGCUA